RNAcentral lists this ribosomal RNA (722 nucleotides) under Salmonella enterica. Its description in RNAcentral is "partial 23S ribosomal RNA". It matches the Rfam family "Bacterial large subunit ribosomal RNA", at positions 568 to 1190 of the family's 2925-position model. RNAcentral also lists the same sequence under 1 other name. The record is from RNAcentral. Lineage: Bacteria; Pseudomonadati; Pseudomonadota; Gammaproteobacteria; Enterobacterales; Enterobacteriaceae.
AAGCAGUGGGAGCCCCACCACUAAGCCAGUGGUGAACUCCACAUACGCAUCCUUUGCUGAGGAUACGGUUAACGGAGCGAAAGCGACGUUCAACCGCAAAAGAAGCAGAGGGGGCUUAGUGGUGGGGUGACUGCGUACCUUUUGUAUAAUGGGUCAGCGACUUAUAUUCUGUAGCAAGGUUAACCGAAUAGGGGAGCCGGAGGGAAACCGAGUCUUAACCGGGCGUUAAGUUGCAGGGUAUAGACCCGAAACCCGGUGAUCUAGCCAUGGGCAGGUUGAAGGUUGGGUAACACUAACUGGAGGACCGAACCGACUAAUGUUGAAAAAUUAGCGGAUGACCUGUGGCUGGGGGUGAAAGGCCAAUCAAACCGGGAGAUAGCUGGUUCUCCCCGAAAGCUAUUUAGGUAGCGCCUCGUGAAUUCAUCUCCGGGGGUAGAGCACUGUUUCGGCUAGGGGGCCAUCCCGGCUUACCAACCCGAUGCAAACUGCGAAUACCGGAGAAUGUUAUCACGGGAGACACACGGCGGGUGCUAACGUCCGUCGUGAAGAGGGAAACAACCCAGACCGCCAGCUAAGGUCCCAAAGUCAUGGUUAAGUGGGAAACGAUGUGGGAAGGCCCAGACAGCCAGGAUGUUGGCUUAGAAGCAGCCAUCAUUUAAAGAAAGCGUAAUAGCUCACUGGUCGAGUCGGCCUGCGCGGAAGAUGUAACGGGGCUAAACCAU